GACGAACGCUGGCGGCGUGCCUAAUACAUGCAAGUCGAGCGCAGGAAACUGAAGGAACUCUUCGGAGGGAAGGCAGCGGAAUGAGCGGCGGACGGGUGAGUAACACGUGGGUAACCUGCCCCAAAGCGGGGGAUAACAUUUGGAAACAGAUGCUAAUACCGCAUGACCACAGAAACCACAUGGUUUCUGUGUCAAAGAUGGUUUCGGCUAUCACUUUGGGAUGGACCCGCGGCGUAUUAGCUAGUUGGUAAGGUAAUGGCUUACCAAGGCAAUGAUACAGAGCCGUACAGAGAGGUUGAUCGGCAACAUUGGGACUGAGACACGGCCCAAACUCCUGCGUGAGGCGACAGUAAGGAAUCUUCCACAAUGGACGAAAGUCUGAUGGAGCAACGCCGCGUGGGUGAGGAAGGUUUUCGGAUCGUAAAGCUCUGUUGUCAGAGAAGAACGUGUGCGAGAGUAACUGCUCGUGCAGUGACGGUAUCUGGCCAGAAAGCCACGGCUAACUACGUGCCAGCAGCCGCCGUAA
Molecule: ribosomal RNA, 526 nt
Filed under: uncultured bacterium
Lineage: Bacteria
Description: partial 16S ribosomal RNA
Rfam family: Bacterial small subunit ribosomal RNA
Source: RNAcentral